Long non-coding RNA from Lytechinus variegatus (green sea urchin), 123 nucleotides. RefSeq lists it as uncharacterized. The record is from RefSeq and is a predicted model, not a curated record. Lineage: Eukaryota; Metazoa; Echinodermata; Echinoidea; Temnopleuroida; Toxopneustidae. The transcript has 3 exons.
CAAAAUAACUUUUUUGAUAUUUUCCUCUUUUUAUUCCAGAAUAUUCAACUAAAUUGUGCAAUGCACAAAAUGAUACAGAACAUACAUGCCAUGUACAUUAAUGAAAAUUGUUUUGUUUCAUAA